GGAAGAAUGAAUUGUUUUUUUUUUUCCUUAAUAUUGCCUCACUGGAUUUUUUAUGCGGUUUUUUAGAAUUAUUUACAUGGAGUACCUGAAUUUAUGCGGAUUUUGAAAAUGCUGGAACGCAUCCCCUGUUUUUGUAUGAAAGUAAAGAACAUUUUUAUGCGGAUUUUUUGUAUGCGGCUUUCUGA
This is a long non-coding RNA of Rhagoletis zephyria (snowberry fruit fly), 185 nucleotides long. RefSeq lists it as uncharacterized. Lineage: Eukaryota; Metazoa; Arthropoda; Insecta; Diptera; Tephritidae. The record is from RefSeq and is a predicted model, not a curated record.